RNAcentral lists this ribosomal RNA (253 nucleotides) under uncultured bacterium. RNAcentral's name for it is "partial 16S ribosomal RNA". It matches the Rfam family "Bacterial small subunit ribosomal RNA", at positions 524 to 776 of the family's 1533-position model. The record is from RNAcentral.
UACGUAGGUGGCAAGCGUUGUCCGGAUUUACUGGGCGUAAAGGGCGUGCAGGCGGUCUGUUAAGUCUAGGGUGAAAGCUCCCGGCUCAACUGGGAGAGGUCCUUGGAUACUGGCGGACUUGAGGGAGGCAGAGGAAAGUGGAAUUCCUGGUGUAGCGGUGAAAUGCGCAGAUAUCAGGAGGAACACCGGUGGCGAAGGCGGGUCUCUGGGCCGAUACUGACGCUGAGGAGCGAAAGCGUGGGGAGCGAACAGG